GACGAACGCUGGCGGCGUGCCUAAUACAUGCAAGUUGAGCGCUGAAGGUUGGUACUUGUACCAACUGGAUGAGCAGCGAACGGGUGAGUAACGCGUGGGGAAUCUGCCUUUGAGCGGGGGACAACAUUUGGAAACGAAUGCUAAUACCGCAUAAAAACUUUAAACACAAGUUUUAAGUUUGAAAGAUGCAAUUGCAUCACUCAAAGAUGAUCCCGCGUUGUAUUAGCUAGUUGGUGAGGUAAAGGCUCACCAAGGCGAGGAUACAUAGCCGACCUGAGAGGGUGAUCGGCCACAGUGGGACGGAGACACGGCCCAAACGCCUACGGGAGGCAGCAGUAGGGAAUCUUCGGCAAGGGACGAAAGUCUGACCGAGCAACGCCGCGGGAGUGAAGAAGGUUGUCGGAUCGUAAAACUCUGUUGGUAGAGAAGAACGUUGGUGAGAGUGGAAAGCUCAUCAAGUGACGGUAACUACCCAGAAAGGGACGGCUAACUACGUG
RNAcentral lists this ribosomal RNA (497 nucleotides) under uncultured bacterium. RNAcentral's name for it is "partial 16S ribosomal RNA". It matches the Rfam family "Bacterial small subunit ribosomal RNA", at positions 28 to 507 of the family's 1533-position model. The record is from RNAcentral.